UAGUCCACGCUGUAAACGAUGUCUACUUGGAGGUUGUUGUCUUGAAUGAUGGCUUUCGGAGCUAACGCGUUAAGUAGACCGCCUGGGGAGUACGGCCGCAAGGUUAAAACUCAAAUGAAUUGACGGGGGCCCGCACAAGCGGUGGAGCAUGUGGUUUAAUUCGAUGCAACGCGAAGAACCUUACCUACUCUUGACAUCUACAGAAGCCAGCGGAGACGCAGGUGUGCCUUCGGGAACUGUAAGACAGGUGCUGCAUGGCUGUCGUCAGCUCGUGUUGUGAAAUGUUGGGUUAAGUCCCGCAACGAGCGCAACCCUUAUCCUUGUUUGCCAGCACGUAAUGGUGGGAACUCCAGGGAGACUGCCGGUGAUAAACCGGAGGAAGGUGGGGACGACGUCAAGUCAUCAUGCCCCUUAUGCUCUGGGCUACACACGUGCUACAAUGGCCGUGACAAAGAGUUGCUACUUUGUAAAAACAAGCUAAUCUCAUAAACGCGGCCUCAGUUCGGAUUG
This 510-nucleotide ribosomal RNA is filed under the name uncultured bacterium. Its description in RNAcentral is "bacterial SSU rRNA". It matches the Rfam family "Bacterial small subunit ribosomal RNA", at positions 791 to 1300 of the family's 1533-position model. The record is from RNAcentral.